This 241-nucleotide ribozyme is filed under the name Curtobacterium sp. ER1/6. RNAcentral describes it as "Archaeal RNase P". It matches the Rfam family "Bacterial RNase P class A", at positions 33 to 280 of the family's 367-position model. From Rfam's summary of the family: Ribonuclease P (RNase P) is a ubiquitous endoribonuclease, found in archaea, bacteria and eukarya as well as chloroplasts and mitochondria. The record is from RNAcentral. Lineage: Bacteria; Bacillati; Actinomycetota; Actinomycetes; Micrococcales; Microbacteriaceae.
CGGGAGUGCCGAGGAACGUCCGGGCUCCACAGAGCAGGGCGGUGGGUAACACCCACCCGGAGCAAUCCGCGAGACAGUGCCACAGAAAGCAGACCGCCGGCGGCGACGUCGGUAAGGGUGAAACGGUGGUGUAAGAGACCACCAGGGGUCCGGGUGACCGGAUCCGCUCGGUAAACCUCGCCCGGAGCAAGGUCAGACAGAGGACGACGAGGCUGCUCGCUGAGUCCUCGGGUGGACCGCU